Molecule: unclassified non-coding RNA, 328 nt
Filed under: uncultured fungus
Lineage: Eukaryota; Fungi
Description: partial contains 5.8S ribosomal RNA, internal transcribed spacer 2, and large subunit ribosomal RNA
Source: RNAcentral
AACGCACAUUGCACUCUUUUAGAGUAUGCCUGUUUGAGAAUCUAUAGUAUUUAUUUUUGUCUAUAUUUUUUAGGAAGUAUAGGCAAAAGAUAUGGGGUUUCCCUCGCAAGAGGGUACUCUGAAAUAGAUUGCCUCUGUUUUGAUAGACUCGACGAAGUUUUUCAAUCCUGCAGAAAAGUAUUUGAAUGGAACCGUGGUUUCUCGAUAUGCUGAAUAUGUGGGGGAAAGAUGGAGAAUCUAUUGGGCAGAUGUCCAUACCCUAUAAGGCGGUCUUAGGAUCGGCUUGAACCAUGGUCUCAAAUCAGGUAGGAAGACCCGCUGAACUUAA